GGGUCUGUAGCUCAGGUGGUUAGAGCGCACCCCUGAUAAGGGUGAGGUCGGUGGUUCAAAUCCCUCAGACCCACCA
RNAcentral lists this transfer RNA (76 nucleotides) under Mannheimia haemolytica. RNAcentral's name for it is "tRNA-Ile". It matches the Rfam family "tRNA". From Rfam's summary of the family: Transfer RNA (tRNA) molecules are approximately 80 nucleotides in length. Their secondary structure includes four short double-helical elements and three loops (D, anti-codon, and T loops). Further hydrogen bonds mediate the characteristic L-shaped molecular structure. tRNAs have two regions of fundamental functional importance: the anti-codon, which is responsible for specific mRNA codon recognition, and the 3' end, to which the tRNAs corresponding amino acid is attached (by aminoacyl-tRNA synthetases). tRNAs cope with the degeneracy of the genetic code in two manners: having more than one tRNA (with a specific anti-codon) for a particular amino acid; and 'wobble' base-pairing, i.e. permitting non-standard base-pairing at the 3rd anti-codon position. The record is from RNAcentral. Lineage: Bacteria; Pseudomonadati; Pseudomonadota; Gammaproteobacteria; Pasteurellales; Pasteurellaceae.